Anopheles merus is the source of this 1367-nucleotide long non-coding RNA. RefSeq lists it as uncharacterized. NCBI's taxonomy places the organism in Eukaryota, Metazoa, Arthropoda, Insecta, Diptera, Culicidae. The transcript has 3 exons. The record is from RefSeq and is a predicted model, not a curated record.
UUUUUUAAGCCCCCCCCCCCCACCCCCUAUGGCAAUCGAAGCAGCCCUGACAAGAAAAACGAGAUAGUGUGCGGUUGAUCGGUCAUGUAAUCUGUCAAAUAUUCAAAAAAUAAAGUUUGUUUACAUUUUGAACCGAACGAUAGCUCUCACGAUGUACAACGGCGAAUGAUUAAAAAAAGGCUACAUCGGCGAUGAAAAUGUUGUGUGUAAUGUGUAAAAUAAACAGCCGAAAAAUUAUAAAUGGUGGUAGAAUCGACUUCGCACGCCUGAAAGCCGUUUAGGAAAGAGGAAAGAAAGAAUGCCCGCAAUCAAACUACACGAUGUUCGAUCAUGGCAAACAAGUUACACAGCAUGCAAAGCUCGCUCGCCGUUGGACGCUUGGACAAUUCCUUUUACAAGCAUUCGGUGAUCAGUUUGCGAAACGUCUUGCCGCACGCAUGGUACAGGCCCUUCUUGUCCGCCCCGGUAUCGAUCGUGGACUGAUCCUUCUGCAGCGUCAGCAUCAUCACCUCCAUCUGCGGGUAGUUGUGGUACGGCGCAGUUCCGGUCGCCAUCUCGAUCGUGGUAAUGCCGAACGACUAGAAGCCGUAUCCGUGGUCCCACUCCAUCUCCUCCGGCGCCAUCCAGCACGACGUGCCGAUAAAAGUGUGGUACACCUUCUGCCGCGACAUGUCUCCAUCGGUGGCGAGUCACGCGCUCAUCGGCUAUAUUUAAGGUGCCGUCGUCGCUGUGCAGUAUGAUGGCCACCUUGGUGUCCACAUAAUGGGCACUGCGGUAUGUGCACUCUAUUGGCAAGCGCACAGCAAGAUCCAGCAAACGUUACCGACAGCAGUUAUCGCCGUGAAAAUGCUUUUACUGCAUGGGUGAGUAUUAUUAUAUCUAUAAGCAUACGUUCGUUCCUUUCUUUAGUUUCAGCUAAUGGCAGACGAACGAUCGAAUGACUGCUACCUCGGAAGGGAGGUCUCAUUGCGGAUACUGACUUGGAUGUGGUACCACCGAGUCGCUUGGUCGCAGUUGGCCCUGGUGUUUCGGAUGCGGCAACAUCGGAAAAGCGCUCCGAACGUGUUGUGAUCAAACCGAGAUCGGCGAAGCAGUGUAGUGUUGUGUGGUGAUCGUGUGUUCAUUUAUGUUGUAAAGGGUGAUUGUACUCAUUUUUUACUGGAAAUUGUAAUACUAGUUGUUAUGCAGAACAAAAUGCAGCAUAAAUGGCGAUGAGCUAGCAUUGUUUAAAGGUGCCGGAUGUUAUACGUUAGAGCUGUUCCUAGUGGCGUGAUGCGAUAGCGUUGAUAUAUUAAACCAGUAUUAGGAUUAGGAUAUUAGUAGGAUUUAAACCAGUGCCGUUGAAUAAAAUAGUGUACAACAAGUUC